GACGAACGCUGGCGGCGUGCUUAACACAUGCAAGUCGAACGGAAAGGCCCUGCUUGCAGGGUGCUCGAGUGGCGAACGGGUGAGUAACACGUGGGUGAUCUGCCCCUUACUUUGGGAUAAGUCUGGGAAACUGGGUCCAAUACUGGAUAGGACCAUGCUGUAGGUGGUGUGGUGGAAAGAUUAGUUUCGGUAAGGGAUGAGCUCGCGGCCUAUCAGCUUGUUGGUGGGGUAAUGGCCUACCAAGGCGUCGACAGGUAGCCGGCCUGAGAGGGUGGACGGCCACAUUGGGACUGAGAUACGGCCCAGACUCCUACGGGAGGCAGCAGUGGGGAAUAUUGCACAAUGGGCGCAAGCCUGAUGCAGCGACGCCGCGUGGGGGAUGACGGCCUUCGGGUUGUAAACUCCUUUCAGCCAUGACGAAGCCCUUGUGGUGACGGUAGUGGUAGAAGAAGCACCGGCUAACUACGUG
This 469-nucleotide ribosomal RNA is filed under the name uncultured bacterium. RNAcentral's name for it is "partial 16S ribosomal RNA". It matches the Rfam family "Bacterial small subunit ribosomal RNA", at positions 28 to 507 of the family's 1533-position model. The record is from RNAcentral.